GACGAACGCUGGCGGCGUGCCUAAUACAUGCAAGUUGAGCGAUGAAGAUUGGUGCUUGCACCAAUUUGAAGAGCAGCGAACGGGUGAGUAACGCGUGGGGAAUCUGCCUUUGAGCGGGGGACAACAUUUGGAAACGAAUGCUAAUACCGCAUAAUAACUUUAAACAUAAGUUUUAAGUUUGAAAGAUGCAAUUGCAUCACUCAAAGAUGAUCCCGCGUUGUAUUAGCUAGUUGGUGAGGUAAAGGCUCACCAAGGCGAUGAUACAUAGCCGACCUGAGAGGGUGAUCGGCCACAUUGGGACUGAGACACGGCCCAAACUCCUACGGGAGGCAGCAGGAGGGAAUCUUCGGCAAUGGACGAAAGUCUGAACGAGCAACGCCGCGUGAGUGAAGAAGGGUUUCGGAUCGUAAAACUCUGUUGGUAGAGAAGAACGUUGGUGAGAGUGGAAAGCUCAUCAAGUGACGGUAACUACCCAGAAAGGGACGGCUAACUACGUG
This 497-nucleotide ribosomal RNA is filed under the name uncultured bacterium. RNAcentral describes it as "partial 16S ribosomal RNA". It matches the Rfam family "Bacterial small subunit ribosomal RNA", at positions 28 to 507 of the family's 1533-position model. The record is from RNAcentral.